AAUUCUUUGAUGCAUUGAGAAAAAGGCAGGAAAGGGAGAGGAAAGAACAUGAAGCACUGGGGCCUUACUUUUUCUGCGAUUCUUCUCAUUCAAAAACAGGGGAUUUUUCUCCAAGUGGAGACAGAUGAAGGGUUCAUAACUACCAAAGGAGUGCAAUUUUUGUUGAAUGGUAGGCCAUUUUACGCAAAUGGCUUCAAUGCCUAGUGGCUAAUGUACUUUGCAACUGACCCUUCACAGAGAGACAAAGUGACAGACAUCUGUUUUCCAAGAAGCUAAAGAACAUGGCCUCGCAAGAACUCGGGCUUUCAAUGAUGGUCAAGAUAGAGCUUUACAUGUCUCACUUGGCCACUACAAUUAACAAACUUUCCAGGCAGUCAUGAUAUAUCUUGCCUGGUAACAUUCUUUUUAGCCUUUUCAAAUUCUCCAUCCUUUGUUAAUGAUAUGGUUUAUCCUUUGUUAAAAGGUUAAAUAGCUACUAGGAAGGAAGCUAGGAGGCAUGGUAUUAAGCUAGUUUUGAGUUGGGUGAACAACUAUGUUGACUUUAGAGGGAGAAAAAUAGUCUGUGAACUAGGCAGCCAGUCAAGGAUACUACAGGAGUCAUAUCAAGGCUAUUCUCACAAGACGUAACAGUAUCACCGGAGUCCCUUACAAAGAUGAGCCAACAAUAAUGGUUUGGGAGCUCAUGAAUGAACCCAGAUGUGUCUCAGAUCCAUCAGGAAGGACCUUUCAGGCUAACUUGUUCAGGUGAAGCAAGCCAAGAAUCCUUUUUGAACAAUUGGCUUAACGAUCAUAUCCAAGAUGCACAGAGCAUCCUUCAGAAGCAAGUUCUGUUCACAGAGUUCGGAAAAUCAUUGAGAACAUCGAAUGAUAACCAAAGGGACCAGCUACUAUAUAUUCAAUACUGUCUUGUGUCUACUCAGCUAUUUAUUUAUCAGCUAGCAAUGGAGGUGCUGCAGCAGGCGGCAUGUUCUGGCAACUACUUACUGAAGGAAUGGACUCAUUCCGAGACUGGCAUGAAGUAGUCUUCAGCCAGAACCCUUCAACAGCUAGUAUCAUAGUUGAUCAGUCUCCAAAGUUCAAUCGGAUUCGAAAGAUGUACGCUAGGCUGAGGAACAUUGAGAAGUGGGAGAGAGCAAAAGAUAUGAGAACGCUUCAGUGGAGAGCUGGGAACAACGGCAAUUAACAUGGAAAAAUGAGAGCCAGGAGACUCUAGUUUUGAUCAUGUUAGACUAGCAAACUCUUUUAACUUGAAAAAUUAGCGUCAUCGCUGAAGUUUUAAG
Long non-coding RNA from Populus trichocarpa (black cottonwood), 1280 nucleotides. RefSeq lists it as uncharacterized. The transcript has 3 exons. The record is from RefSeq and is a predicted model, not a curated record. NCBI's taxonomy places the organism in Eukaryota, Viridiplantae, Streptophyta, Magnoliopsida, Malpighiales, Salicaceae.